Molecule: ribosomal RNA, 468 nt
Filed under: uncultured bacterium
Lineage: Bacteria
Description: partial 16S ribosomal RNA
Rfam family: Bacterial small subunit ribosomal RNA
Source: RNAcentral
GACGAACGCUGGCGGCGUGCUUAACACAUGCAAGUCGAACGGAAAGGCCCUGCUUUUGUGGGGUGCUCGAGUGGCGAACGGGUGAGUAACACGUGAGUAACCUGCCCUUGACUUUGGUAUAACUUCAGGAAACUGGGGCUAAUCCCGGAUAGGAGCUCCUGCUGCAUGGUGGGGGUUGGAAAGUUUCGGCUGUUGGGGAUGGACUCGCGGCUUAUCAGCUUGUUGGUGGGGUAGUGGCUUACCAGGGCUUUGACGGGUAGCCGGCCUGGGAGGGUGACCGGCCACAUUGGGACGGAGAUACGGCCCAGACUCCUAGGGGAGGCAGCAGUGGGGAAUAUUGCACAAGGGGCGGAAGCCUGAUGCAGCAACGCCGGGUGCGGGAGGACGGCCUUCGGGUGGUAAACCGCUUUCGCCUGUGACGAAGCGUGAGUGACGGUAAUGGGUAAAGAAGCACCGGCUAACUACGUG